GUUCCAUAUGGUAGUCACAAGCCUGUGGGACUAUUGGGCACCUGACGACUGGCUAGUGCAACUACAGAACUGAAUUUUCAGUUUUAUUUGAUGUUGAUUAAAUUCACAUUAAAAACUGACUAUCUAUUAGAAGGCUUUGAAGUAUGUUUGGCACAACUUUAGCUGGUGAAUCUACCUUUUUUAACUGUAAGUGUAUGAAUUCUAAAUAUAAGAUCAAGAAUUUUCAAUGCAAAUUUAGCGUCCAGAGCUGUGCAAAAGGAAACUUCCAUCCAGACUGUCUGAAUUAUCCAAAAAUUCUGAACUGAUGGCAUCCAAAUGAAUAAGACUUUACAGAACUGCACUUGGAGAGUUGAUUGGAUUUGUCAGUUUUCCUGUGGAUAGAAAGUCCUGGGUGGCUUGACUGAAAGUAUGCUAGAACAUAAAUAAUCACCAGAUUUCCAGAGGCUUCAUGCUCUGACGUGAUGAAAGAUCUGACCCAGGAAUUUCAAGUUCAUCAGUGGGGUGGGGUGUGUGUGGGGUAGCCAGGAGGCUUCCCAACCCCAGCUUCCGUCUGCCCCCAUUGGCUGGACUCCAGUUACUCUCAUGCUUGAAGGGUUGGGUCAGUGCUGCAGUUCCCUAGUGGAUCCAUCUUCCCUUACAAGGAAAUGGUUUGUGCUUUUUUCUGGAACUUGAGGUGUGUGAAGUGUUUAUGGUUUAUUCUUAGCAGAGUUUUGAAUGGGCAUCAGUACCCACUUAUUCAUUUAAUGGGUACUAACUGAGCACCUACUGUGUGCCUGGCACUCUCCUAGGCACUGGGGAUGUUGGGGGAUAGGCCACACCAACUCUAUCCUCUUGGGAAUUCCCACAUUGUUUUGAAUUAUGUGACACCCACUCCUGCCCUAGGUCACUUGGACUCAGAGGCAAGGAUUGUAUUAGAAAUAAUCUCUUCCAAUCUUCUCAUUUGACAGAUGGGAAGACAAAGGUCCAGAGAGAAGGAAGGGGCUGGCUCAAAGUCACAUAGUAGAUUAGUUACAAAACCUGGAGAAGGAUCCAGUUUUCUUGCUUUCUAACCCAAAGCUCUUUUUCUUGUACCAUGAUGCCUCUCACAGUUCAUUCAAUUACUCUUUGCUGAGCCCUCACGAGGUCUGUGUUAUGUGCUGGACGAAACUCAAGAGAGGUCACUCAAGAAACUGGUGAUCCAAACCGGAGGUGAUGGAUCGUUAAACUGUUAGUUGGGAAAUGUGGAGAGGAGAGUCUAGAUGUGGGAAUCAGAUAGGGUUGGAUUUAAAUCCUGGUGUUUCAUUCCCUGAUAGUGUUCUUUGGGGCAAGUUAUUUAGCUUUUAUAAGGCCUCAGUUUCUCAUCUUUGAGAGAAGAGUAUCGAUAAUAAUUCCUACCUAUGAGUAUUGGGAAAAGAAGCAAUAAUAUAUGGAAAAUAUUUUGCAAACUGCCUGGCACAAAAGAGGGAACCCUGCAUGGUUGUCAUGAAUCAUAACUGCUAUGAUAAAUGCUGUAGGUAGUUAUAUGUAGUGUUCUGGAAAUACAUAGGAAGGAGCAGUUAAUUAUGUCCCCAGGCAAGGAUAAGAAAAAGGGGCUCUUUCUUUUGAUUGGAUUUUUCUGCCUGAUUUGUGGAUGGGGAGGGUAUAUAUUUUAUGGCUGAAAUCUCUGGGCAGGCAUUUCUACUCUAAGAAGUUCAUUUUCCUAUAAGGAGUGACUGCAAAGACAAAGCUGCAAAUGGAUAUAAGUGCAGAAUGGGACCCUGCCAUGGCUGACCGGCCAGAUAACAGGCUUUCUUUUCUUUUUUUUUUUUUUUUAAAUUAAUUUAUUUAUUCAUGAGCGAUAGAGAGAGAGGGAGAGACACAGGCAGAGGGAGAAGCAGGCUCCAUGCAGGGAGCCUGAUGUGGGACUCGAUCCUGGGUCCCCAGGAUCACACCCUGGGCUGCAGGCAGCGCUAAACUGCUGUGCCACCGGGGCUGCCCGAUAACAGGCUUUCUUAAUGGCUGUGCCCACUUGUUCCAAGUACAAGUGCAACCCAUGUCCAGAGGAUGAUCCAAGACACAGAAGUUCUUAAAAGCCUUAUGAAUUAUCAGAGAUCAAAUGUGUUGAAUCAUCCAGGAUUACAUAAUUCUUUAAAUGUUGGGAUGCUUUGAAAAUUGCUAAUGGUAUAGAGGUCAUUUCUUGGUGAUAUUCAAGCACUGGGUAUUGACCAGCAUUUCCCAAAGUAUGCUUUGUGGAACACUAGACCAAUGACAUGGACUGAGGAACUUUGGGCAAAAUGUAUACCCAGAUAUUCCCAGCAUACCUUAGAGCAAAUGCCCUGUAUGAUCCAUGAGGAAAGAAUUCAAUUUAUGUUUUUAAAACCAGUAGAAUUUUCUUUAAUCCCUAGAUUAUAAGGUCUGUGAGUACAGGAAUUAUAUCUCUCUUUUCCUCUAUUAUAUCCCAGCAACUAGCACAAUUUCUGGGAUGUAGUGUCCACUUAAUACAUGUUUAUUAAAAAUAAUUAUAUAUUUCCCGAACUUGCUUGGCCACUGAAAUUCCCUUUUUGUCCACAGUAUACCUGCCAGCGUUUUGCAUAAAUAAAGGAAAGUUUCCUUCAAAUCCAAAUAGCAAAAUUUGUUCCAGGUGGGGCUAUAAAGAUGUUUUAGCAUGGAAUUGAAGGGAGGGGAUUGUGGAUUGGUGGGGCUCCAGACCCCACCCCCUCAUCUCAACCAGAGCAUCCUUGCCUUCAUGCUAACUGCUUUAUAGAUUAGGAUUUCUUUUGAAUUAAGAGUUAUAUGUUUAUAGCACACUUGAAAUAUACUGUUCUAGAAGGAAUUACAUACCUGGGGGAUGUUAUAAUUGAAGGAAACAGCCAAGGUUGGGCUUGACAGAUUUAGCUAGAUGUGUUUUAAGAAAAAAAGUAACACCAAGAUCCAUUUGUUUAUCGAUCCAUUCAUUCACUUACAUUUGUGGAAUGUCUCUCUAUAUCAGGCAUAUCAUGAAGAUGCAGGGAAGAAUGACAGAAAAGAGCUCUGCCCUCAAGGAGCCUACAGUUUGGGGGGCAGAGGGAUACUGGUUACUGAACCAUUAGACAAUCAUAUGACAAGCAAGAUUUCCUAGAGAGACACACAGUGUGAAGAUGGUAUACAGUGAGAUCAAAGUGAGGGCACUAACAGCAAGUUACUGGUAGAGGAAGGUCUGUCCUGGGAGGAGCCACUUGAAUUCAGACCCAAACCACAUCCGAGGACCAAAAAGGAAGGUGUGGAGGGGACAGCAAAUGCAAAGAUAUUGAGGCAGGAACAAAAUUGGCAUGCUCAAAGGAUAUAAAGCAAACCAGUGUGGCCAGAGGACAGCAAGCUAGGGAGCAAACUGAAUGGAAGAUACUAGCAGUGGACUGCUUCUGGCUCACUUUUUUCCCAGUGCUGGGCACUGUGUCUAGCAAAGACCAGUUAUCAUGGAUAUUUGCUGAAUGUACACAUUAAUACAGUUAAUUAAUUGCUCUCCUUCAUUCGUGUUCUCCACUAUCUUUGGUUCCCUUG
Long non-coding RNA from Canis lupus familiaris (dog), 3495 nucleotides. RefSeq lists it as uncharacterized. NCBI's taxonomy places the organism in Eukaryota, Metazoa, Chordata, Mammalia, Carnivora, Canidae. The record is from RefSeq and is a predicted model, not a curated record. The transcript has 3 exons.